AAGAAUAAAGAAAAUGUAUAGAUAUAUAAUAUAUAUAUAUACGAGAGGAAUUAUUAACUGUUUUACUAAAGCUACAUCUGGCGAAUCUCGCGGAGUUCGCGACUGAAAUAGUUCAAUUAUAAUUAACGAUAGAAACACAGCGAUUUCUAUUUCGAAAUAUCAUCUUUGUUAAACUACGUGCUCGUAUUUGUUGGCAAAGUUUGAGUGAACAUUCGCAUGCUUUUUCCGGGCAACUAGAGCUCAGAGUGGCGACGAGUUCGGAUACGUUUCCGGUAUUCGGAGUUCGUUAAAGUUACGACAGGUCCAGAUGCGUUAAACGUUGACGAUCAACGACCAAGUCAUUGCCUCCUUCGAGACCACGACGUCCUCUUCUCUCGUUCUCCUGUCGUUCAUCAAUUCAAUCAGCCUGAGCAUACGUUCUGAAGGAAAAAAUGUGUUCGUCGAAAUCGC
This 450-nucleotide unclassified non-coding RNA is filed under the name Bombus terrestris (buff-tailed bumblebee). RNAcentral's name for it is "misc RNA ENSBTSG00005023281.1". The record is from RNAcentral. Lineage: Eukaryota; Metazoa; Arthropoda; Insecta; Hymenoptera; Apidae.